GUGAGCGGCGGCUGUUGAUCAGGUCCGGUCCCUGCUUCUUGGUGCGCCUGCCUUCCAGGCAUCCCCACGGGACAGCAGUCUACCCCCAAUCUCACAGACCUCAGGGGAAGGAGUGCCCAGACUCCUGCUUACUAAUGCAUUCCAUCGUCAACCCCUCAGAGCCAGGAAGUCCUCCUGUGUGUCUACACUUAAUCCCCCUCACCAGAUCUGAAGCUUAUUUUCUUUCGCUCUUUCUUUAGGGGGAAAAGACUGAGAUUCUGCUCAGGCAAGACAUUUGACUUGCGCAGCAAGCGGCUCUAUGUUGCAAUCUCCCUGUGAAAUCACUUCGCAAGGAGAUCCAGGAGGGGGAAGUGAGAGGGGCUGAGGAACGAGGGGUAACAUCCCCGGCUUUGUCCUUUAACGGCUUUUGGAAGGGACGACAUCGCUCAAAGGCAGACAGACAUCCCUAAUGAACUCCCAAGAAUGCAGUCCUUCUCAGAAGAGCAAUCGGAUAGCCUGCCAGGACUAAGCUACCCAGGUUUGGUUCAGGGCUGAAGCUGUUUGCCGGUCAUGGAGAGUAAAUGCUCACAAAUCAUCUGGGAGGUACGGACAAGAGAAGCAAGGUCCAGGGAAGCUGACUUGCCUAAUACUUGGGAGAAAGGUGACCUGGUGUUGUUGAGGAUGGACCCCUGGCACCCGGCUUGGUUUUCCUGAGUGAGGCCUUCUGUUGUCACAGGCUUGUACAUGGCUGCAGGUUUGCAAGACUUCACAUCGAGGAGUCCUUGAUCCAUUCAGAAACAAAGAGAAACUGUUUUGUGAGUUAUUAAAAAAAAUUUCCCUUGGAAAGUAAGAAUUCCACAAAGGUAGUUAGCAGACAGUCCUCAGAAUUUGCAGAGAGAUACCAAUUGUCCCAAUAAUUCCAGAGCAGGGUGUGGCAGAGAACUAGAUGCCAGCCUGCUGCCCCUCCCUGCCCCACCCCUCCCUGAGGGCAACCAGAGGGGCUCCCAUCAGCCUGGCCUCCGCUGGCUGGGAUGCUGCAGGGACCGGCUUCUCAGGAGCCACAAUUACCAACUGCCUGUGGAGUGAGGGUUUGAUCUCCGACAGCAGAUAAUAAAUUGUUCCCAUGCACUAAACCAAUUCCCCUGAGCACUGGAAACGUGAUAAUUCCACCCUCUCUCUGCCGUCACUAACUCACACCAAGAA
Molecule: long non-coding RNA, 1182 nt
Organism: Leopardus geoffroyi (Geoffroy's cat)
Lineage: Eukaryota; Metazoa; Chordata; Mammalia; Carnivora; Felidae
Exons: 4
Source: RefSeq, a predicted model, not a curated record